RNAcentral lists this ribosomal RNA (253 nucleotides) under uncultured bacterium. Its description in RNAcentral is "partial 16S ribosomal RNA". It matches the Rfam family "Bacterial small subunit ribosomal RNA", at positions 524 to 776 of the family's 1533-position model. The record is from RNAcentral.
UACGGAGGGGGCUAGCGUUGUUCGGCAUUACUGGGCGUAAAGCGCACGUAGGCGGCUUUGCAAGUCAGAGGUGAAAGCCCGGGGCUCAACCCCGGAAUUGCCUUUGAGACUGCAUCGCUAGAAUUGUGGAGAGGUAAGUGGAAUUCCGAGUGUAGAGGUGAAAUUCGUAGAUAUUCGGAAGAACACCAGUGGCGAAGGCGACUUACUGGACACAUAUUGAUGCUGAGGUGCGAAAGCGUGGGGAGCAAACAGG